UCUCCGUUAGUAAACCAGCGGAGGGAUCAUUACUAGAAUCGUAAGACUCCUAACCCCUGUGAAUGUACCGAAACGUUGCCUCGGCGGGCCUCGCGCCCACCGGCAGCCCCUUACUCUUUGCCUCUCACGUUGUCUCUCCGAGUAUCGCAGAAUGCAUAAAAACUUUCAACAACGGAUCUCUUGGUUCUGGCAUCGAUGAAGAACGCAGC
This 209-nucleotide unclassified non-coding RNA is filed under the name uncultured fungus. Its description in RNAcentral is "sequence contains ITS1, 5.8S rRNA gene". The stretch from base 161 to 209 matches the Rfam family "5.8S ribosomal RNA", at positions 1 to 49 of the family's 154-position model. Lineage: Eukaryota; Fungi. The record is from RNAcentral.